This 506-nucleotide ribosomal RNA is filed under the name uncultured bacterium. RNAcentral describes it as "partial 16S ribosomal RNA". It matches the Rfam family "Bacterial small subunit ribosomal RNA", at positions 29 to 523 of the family's 1533-position model. The record is from RNAcentral.
AGUGAACGCUGGCGGUAGGCCUAACACAUGCAAGUCGAACGGCAGCACAGGAGAGCUUGCUCUCUGGGUGGCGAGUGGCGGACGGGUGAGGAAUACAUCGGAAUCUACUCUGUCGUGGGGGAUAACGUAGGGAAACUUACGCUAAUACCGCAUACGACCUACGGGUGAAAGCAGGGGAUCUUCGGACCUUGCGCGAUUGAAUGAGCCGAUGUCGGAUUAGCUAGUUGGCGGGGUAAAGGCCCACCAAGGCGACGAUCCGUAGCUGGUCUGAGAGGAGUAUCAGCCACACUGGAACUGAGACACGGUCCAGACUCCUACGGGAGGCAGCAGUGGGGAAUAUUGGACAAUGGGCGCAAGCCUGAUCCAGCCAUACCGCGUGGGUGAAGAAGGCCUUCGGGUUGUAAAGCCCUUUUGUUAGGAAAGAAAUCCAGCUGGCUAAUACCCGGUUGGGAUGACGGUACCCAAAGAAUAGGCACCGGCUAACUUCGUGCCAGCAGCCGCAGUAA